GAAACAAUGUGAAAUCUCCUUUGGUAACCUACGAAGCAAUCGGCACUUCAAAACUUUUUUCUUUGCUCAAUUCUAAUUUAAGACAUGAUAGUAACAUAAUUGCAUUUCAAUUUUGGAAUGCCGAUUGUGCAUGGCUAAUGCCAAACAUCAUCCAAAAUUUUCAACAACCACAAAGAAGAAGCGAGUACAUUCACACCUAAAAGAACGGCUACGCAACAACAUGAAAAUGAAAAUGUCAUGGCAUCUAUAAUAUCCCUGGGUCUGUCCUCUCUUCUAUCUUUCGUCUUUGCACAUGCAAAGGGAUAAAACCCACACGCCCAUAGGCUCCAGGCCUUGUCAACAUCUUACAAUGUCCAUUGAAACAAAUGAGCAAUACAGCAUCAAAAUUAAAAGGGUUAUGCAGGUCUUAGCAUCUCCAAAAAAAUAGCCACUUGAUUUAGUACGUGAAACAUUUUUGCCCCAACUACAGAUGGGGAAUUUGCUGCUUAUAAAUAUAGUUGGUUUUAAGCAGGGAAAUGGGCGUAUUAUAAUCAGUAUUUUAUGGUAGCUGUAUGAAAUUCAGUGGGUUCCCUGUUAAAUCGGAUGCAUCCCUGCAUUGAGUCUUCAGCAGAUGCCAUUAUCUACAAAGAGUAAAAUUAAUAUGUUGUAUGAUAAAUACGUUAAAGUAUACAUUGGCAACUAAUAACAAACAGUUAUAUAGGAAAACAAACGUGGCAUCUGAAACAAGCUCCUAGAGGUUUAUCAUGCAAAGCGCAGACAUAAAUCAAUCACAGAUCACCAUAUUAUUUACUUAUUGGCAAAGUGAAACAAAAAAAGAGGGAACAUUUUUCAAAUGUCCAUCCAGACCAUGUGGAAACUUUUGGUAAAAUGGACCACAUAAAAACAAGAUGACAAUGGUCUUUCAUGGUAUCUUAAACUGUUUCAGCAGUCCCCACAAAACUUCCAUACUAUUUAAGUGAAAGGAUAAAACUAAAUGGACCCUGAAACCGACACCAUUCUUUUCUGACAAUUAAUUUGAGCACAAAGGAAGACAAUGAGGGGUAAGAAAGAAAAGAAGAAGCCAUAAAUUGUUAUAUGGUCGCAGACCAAAAUGACCGACUCCAGAAGGUUAAUAGAUAAGCAACUCCAAAAAAUCUAAAAACCAGAAAAUGGUUUUUUUUAUCUACCUACACAUAUGAUAAACAGAAGUAAUUAUGUGAAUUUGGUGAGGCAAGAAUUACUUAGGUUUGUCUGUUAAGGUGACCAGAGAUCUGAGCACACCAGGA
Molecule: unclassified non-coding RNA, 1265 nt
Filed under: Hevea brasiliensis (rubber tree)
Lineage: Eukaryota; Viridiplantae; Streptophyta; Magnoliopsida; Malpighiales; Euphorbiaceae
Source: RNAcentral